UACAGGGGGUGCAAACGUUGCUCGGAAUCAUUGGGCGUAAAGCGCACGUAGGCGGUUCGUUAUGUCGGAUGUGAAAGCCCUUGGCUUAACCGAGGAAGUGCAUCCGAAACUGGCGAGCUAGAGUACGAAAGAGGAUCGCGGAAUUCCCGGUGUAGAGGUGAAAUUCGUAGAUAUCGGGGAGGAACACCGGGUGGCGAAGGCGGCGAUCUGGGUCGAUACUGACGCUGAGGUGCGAAAGCGUGGGGAGCAAACAGG
Molecule: ribosomal RNA, 255 nt
Filed under: uncultured bacterium
Lineage: Bacteria
Description: partial 16S ribosomal RNA
Rfam family: Bacterial small subunit ribosomal RNA
Source: RNAcentral